GGGGGUGUAGCUCAAUGGUAGAGCACAUGCUUAGCAUGUGCAAGGUCCUAGGUUCAUCCCCA
Molecule: transfer RNA, 62 nt
Filed under: Urocitellus parryii (Arctic ground squirrel)
Lineage: Eukaryota; Metazoa; Chordata; Mammalia; Rodentia; Sciuridae
Also listed under: 1 other name
Description: Spermophilus parryii (Arctic ground squirrel) tRNA
Rfam family: tRNA
About the family: Transfer RNA (tRNA) molecules are approximately 80 nucleotides in length. Their secondary structure includes four short double-helical elements and three loops (D, anti-codon, and T loops).
Source: Rfam by way of RNAcentral